ACGGGAGGCAGCAGUGGGGAAUAUUGCACAAUGGGGGAAACCCUGAUGCAGCGACGCCGCGUGAGUGAAGAAGUAUUUCGGUAUGUAAAGCUCUAUCAGCAGGAAAGAAAAUGACGGUACCUGACUAAGAAGCCCCGGCUAACUACGUGCCAGCAGCCGCGGUAAUACGUAGGGGGCAAGCGUUAUCCGGAUUUACUGGGUGUAAAGGGAGCGUAGACGGUAAGGCAAGUCUGAAGUGAAAUGCCAGGGCUCAACCCUGGAACUGCUUUGGAAACUGUCCUACUAGAGUGUAGGAGAGGUAAGUGGAAUUCCUAGUGUAGCGGUGAAAUGCGUAGAUAUUAGGAGGAACACCAGUGGCGAAGGCGGCUUACUGGACUGUAACUGACGUUGAGGCUCGAAAGCGUGGGGAGCAAACAGGAUUAGAUACCCUGGUA
This 434-nucleotide ribosomal RNA is filed under the name uncultured Lachnospiraceae bacterium. RNAcentral describes it as "partial 16S ribosomal RNA". It matches the Rfam family "Bacterial small subunit ribosomal RNA", at positions 341 to 792 of the family's 1533-position model. Lineage: Bacteria; Bacillati; Bacillota; Clostridia; Lachnospirales; Lachnospiraceae. The record is from RNAcentral.